This 250-nucleotide ribosomal RNA is filed under the name uncultured bacterium. RNAcentral describes it as "partial 16S ribosomal RNA". It matches the Rfam family "Bacterial small subunit ribosomal RNA", at positions 57 to 305 of the family's 1533-position model. The record is from RNAcentral.
GCAAGUCGAACGGAAACGAAGCUAGCUUGCUAGCAGGCGUCGAGUGGCGGACGGGUGAGUAAUGUAUAGGAACUUGCCUAGUAGUGGGGGACAACGCGCGGAAACGCACGCUAAUACCGCAUACGCUCUACGGAGGAAAGCGGGGGCUCUUCGGACCUCGUGCUACUAGAUAGGCCUAUAUUGGAUUAGCUAGUUGGUAAGGUAAAGGCUUACCAAGGCGACGAUCCAUAGCUGGUUUGAGAGAAUGAUC